GUAGUCCUGGCCCUAAACGAUGUCCACUAGAUCGCGGGCGGUUUGACCCGCUCGCGGUCGGAGCAAAAGUGUUAAGUGGACCGCCUGGGAAGUACGGUCGCAAGGCUAAAACUCAAAGGAAUUGACGGGGGCUCACACAAGCGGUGGAGCAUGUGGUUCAAUUCGAAGCAACGCGCAGAACCUUACCUGGGCUUGACAUGCUAGGAUUACCCCGAUGAAAGUCGGGUACGCGGCGCAAGCCGUGGAACUAGCACAGGUGCUGCAUGGCUGUCGUCAGCUCGUGUCGUGAGAUGUCGGGUUAAGUCCCUUAACGAGCGAAACCUUUACCCUUAGUUACCAGCGGGUUAUGCCGGGGACUCUAAGGGGACCGCCGGUGUCAAACCGGA
Molecule: ribosomal RNA, 386 nt
Filed under: uncultured bacterium
Lineage: Bacteria
Description: bacterial SSU rRNA
Rfam family: Bacterial small subunit ribosomal RNA
Source: RNAcentral